UAGCGGCGAGUGAGCGGCAAAAGCUCAAAUUUGAAAUCUGGCUCUUUCAGAGUCCGAGUUGUAAUUUGAAGAAGGUAUCUUUGGGUCUGGCUCUUGUCUAUGUUUCUUGGAACAGAACGUCACAGAGGGUGAGAAUCCCGUGCGAUGAGAUGAUCCAGGCCUAUGUAAAGUUCCUUCGAAGAGUCGAGUUGUUUGGGAAUGCAGCUCUAAGUGGGUGGUAAAUUCCAUCUAAAGCUAAAUAUUGGCGAGAGACCGAUAGCGAACAAGUACAGUGAUGGAAAGAUGAAAAGAACUUUGAAAAGAGAGUGAAAAAGUACGUGAAAUUGUUGAAAGGGAAGGGCUUGAGAUCAGACUUGGUAUUUUGUAUGUUACUUCUUCGGGGGUGGCCUCUACAGUUUAUCGGGCCAGCAUCAGUUUGGGCGGUAGGAGAAUUGCGUUGGAAUGUGGCACGGCUUCGGUUGUGUGUUAUAGCCUUCGUCGAUACUGCCAGCCUAGACUGAGGACUGCGGUUUAUACCUAGGAUGUUGGCAUAAUGAUCUUAAGUCGCCCGUCUUGAA
RNAcentral lists this ribosomal RNA (557 nucleotides) under Candida tropicalis. RNAcentral's name for it is "eukaryotic LSU rRNA". It matches the Rfam family "Eukaryotic large subunit ribosomal RNA", at positions 84 to 658 of the family's 3401-position model. Lineage: Eukaryota; Fungi; Ascomycota; Pichiomycetes; Serinales; Debaryomycetaceae. The record is from RNAcentral.